UAAUACGUAGGGGGCAAGCGUUGUCCGGAUUUAUUGGGCGUAAAGAGCUCGUAGGCGGUUCAGCAAGUCGGGUGUGAAAAAUCUGGGCUCAACCCAGUGGAGCACCCGAUACUGCUGUGACUAGAGUCCGGUAGGGGAGUGUGGAAUUUCUGGUGUAGCGGUGAAAUGCGCAGAUAUCAGAAGGAACACCAACGGCGAAGGCAGCACUCUGGGCCGGUACUGACGCUGAGGAGCGAAAGCGUGGGGAGCGAACAGGAUUAGAUACCCUGGUAGUCCACGCCGUAAACGUUGGGCACUAGGUGUGGGGAGGAAUCAACCCUUUCCGUGCCGCAGCUAACGCAUUAAGUGCCCCGCCUGGGGAGUACGGCCGCAAGGCUA
This 378-nucleotide ribosomal RNA is filed under the name uncultured bacterium. RNAcentral's name for it is "bacterial SSU rRNA". It matches the Rfam family "Bacterial small subunit ribosomal RNA", at positions 521 to 896 of the family's 1533-position model. The record is from RNAcentral.